AAGUCGUAACAAGGUUUCCGUAGGUGAAGGAUCAUUCGCACGUAUCCAACGUUAAACCCCCUGUGAACCUUCUUUGUACGAGUUAGCCCUGAUCACAACCUUUGCAUGAAAACGGGCAUGCGCUGAGGCCACCCCUAAUGCUC
Molecule: unclassified non-coding RNA, 143 nt
Filed under: fungal sp.
Lineage: Eukaryota; Fungi
Description: partial internal transcribed spacer region
Source: RNAcentral